GGGGACGUGGCGGAAUUGGCAGACGCUUUGGACUUAAAAUCCAUUGGCCCAUGUGCCGUGCGGGUUCGAAUCCCGCCGUCCCCA
This 84-nucleotide transfer RNA is filed under the name Gammaproteobacteria bacterium. Its description in RNAcentral is "tRNA-Leu". It matches the Rfam family "tRNA". From Rfam's summary of the family: Transfer RNA (tRNA) molecules are approximately 80 nucleotides in length. Their secondary structure includes four short double-helical elements and three loops (D, anti-codon, and T loops). Further hydrogen bonds mediate the characteristic L-shaped molecular structure. tRNAs have two regions of fundamental functional importance: the anti-codon, which is responsible for specific mRNA codon recognition, and the 3' end, to which the tRNAs corresponding amino acid is attached (by aminoacyl-tRNA synthetases). tRNAs cope with the degeneracy of the genetic code in two manners: having more than one tRNA (with a specific anti-codon) for a particular amino acid; and 'wobble' base-pairing, i.e. permitting non-standard base-pairing at the 3rd anti-codon position. The record is from RNAcentral. Lineage: Bacteria; Pseudomonadati; Pseudomonadota; Gammaproteobacteria.